This 2000-nucleotide long non-coding RNA is filed under the name Olea europaea subsp. europaea. Lineage: Eukaryota; Viridiplantae; Streptophyta; Magnoliopsida; Lamiales; Oleaceae. The record is from RNAcentral.
CGAUUACGAAAGCACGACGACUUUGAAUUUUUCUCUCAGCCUCUCAUUCUCAUCUCUUUGAGAGCACGAUAUGGUGUCGCAUGCAUCGUCUUUCUUCCAUCAAUGCCAUCAGCGGAAACCAAAUCCCAAUUUUUCAAAUCACGAUUUCUUCAGUCUCAAAUUAUACCUCAAUGUCCUCUCUCGCCCCUAUCGUUUGCCACUGCUACGGAGGUACUCAUUUUGUUUAUAUUUUUUUUCUUGUUCUUUUAAAAUAUUUUAAGAUUGAGAAUCUGAUUUGGGGUGAGCUGUGGAGCCAGAGGAUUUUGUGCCAUUACUGUCGUGCGCUAGGUAGUGGGUGGUGGGAUUAUUUUCAAAUUUUGAUAGGAUUAGGGAAUCACAUCAUGGGAUUAUGAUUUAUUGAUCAAAUAUUGAAUAGGAUUAAGAUUAUAUUGAAUGGGAUCUGAGAAUAGGAUUUAUUGCUAAUAUAUUCUAGUUCCUUUUAAAUAUUGAAUGGGAAUAAAAAAUGGGAUUAGGAUUUAGGAUUAUAUUCAAUCCGUGUUUCUCACUCAAAAGCUAAAUAUAAAGAACUAGUUUGGUAGAUUUGAGUGUUUGCUUUUAAGUCUUCCUUCGGUUUUAAGAAAUUUUGGGUAAGUGAACGAAAAUUUCUAAUUUCCCUUUUGCUGGAACGAUAUGUAUAAUGCUUAGCUAUAUAUGCUAGUACAUAAAUUUCCCUUUUACUGCAACAAAUAGAAAUUUUAUUGAUAGGCAUCAUCCGUAAACAACAAAAAAUAAGGACUACCGCAAGUUAACAAUUACCUGAUUAAAUGGCCAUAAAUUGCAGCCCCUGUGGGAGAUAGAUUCUUCCCUUAUUAAAAUACUUUUGAGGUCCGAUAAAUUUAUUUUUGCCAUUUACAAAUUUGGUUGUGUAAACAUGGCUUGUUAGUUGUUGGCAUGAUAUCGAGAAGUAGCUGCCCUUGCUCUAUUUGGGUCAGAUAUUAUGCUACAACUCAAGCUCUCUAAUAGCUUUCCAUUUCUUGCUUACUUUUCUAUUUGAGUUGGGAUGAGACUUUUCGCGAGUUUCUUUUCUUCAUUCUAGGCUCACAAGUUGUGAAGAAAUCAAGCUUAUUUCUUUCCCCACUUAAAUGCCCCAUGGCAGGCACAUUCUACAGAAGUCCUGCUCCUGGUGAACCACCAUUCAUGAAGGCAAUUAAUAUAAAUUUGAUGAUGGAAAAAGAAAAAAAUGAAGGUAGGAAUGGAUUUGUAUUUGUAAGGUAGAUGUGUGUAUCAAUUUUUUGUAUUUUUUGUAUACAACACAUGCUCAGAAGAAAUUAUCUUGUCAUUAGCUUUACCCCCGUUUAGACUAUUUCAAUGCUUUAUUUCUUCUUUCACAGUUCGAGGCUUCACAUCUCUUUGUAUUCGCAUCGUUACAUGGUUAUAUAAUCAUAAGCUGCAACCCUAUAUCAGUUGAUACCCUGAGUAGCUACAUUUGCAUGGUCAUGUUAUUCUAGCAUCAUAAUUUAUGCCAUUUAUCAGCUACUAGAUGACACUAUAUCAAUGUUGACACUGUGAGUUCUCUGGUCUAAUCAAUAUUGGUUGAUAGUAUAAGUGAUAUACUAUUUUAAUCUCUCUUCACUUUAAGUGUGUUCUGAUUUUUCUUACACCUGUUUAUAGCCUCUGUUUUUGAUUGAAACAUAGAGCAAGUAGAGUUAAAAGCAUGGUAUUAAGGAAUAAGAUGGUCUACCUUAUAUUUAAGGCGGGUUGAAGCAUGCUUUUUACUCCUAGGAACGUGUUGUGCUGGGAAUGAGAUUAUAGUUAGAAUUGGAAAUGAAAGUCUCCAAUAAAUUCCUUUCUUUACCUGUAUUAGAAUUUGUUGAAAUAUUUCUUUUGCUACUAUGCAUACCAAACUAUAUCAUUAUUCCUCCCAAAGAAGAAAUGAUAAUCCUCCUUUUUUUUUUUGCUACUACAUAUACUAAACUAUUUCAAAAAUUUGUAAUGAAAUUAUCAUUUUUAUACAAUUCCAA